GACGAACGCUGGCGGCGUGCUUAACACAUGCAAGUCGAACGGCAAGGCCCUGCUUUUGUGGGGUGCUCGAGUGGCGAACGGGUGAGUAACACGUGAGUAACCUGCCCUUGACUGUGGGAUAACUUCAGGAAAGUGGGGCUAAUACCGGCUAGGAGCUCCUGCUGCAUGGGGGGGGUUGGAAAGUUUCGGCGGGUGGGGAUGGACUCGCGGCUUAUCAGCUUGUGGGUGGGGUAGUGGCUUACCAAGGCUUUGACGGGUAGCCGGCCUGAGAGGGUGACCGCGCACCUGGGGCCUGCGAGAGGGACCAGACUCGUACGGUAGGCAGCAGGGGAAAAUAUUGUACAGUGGGCCGAAGCCUGAUGCAGCAGCGCUGCGUGCGUGAUGACGGCCUUGGGGUUGUAAACCGCUUUCGCCUGUGACGAAGCGUGAGUGACGGUAAUGGGUAAAGAAGCACCGGCUAACUACGUG
This 468-nucleotide ribosomal RNA is filed under the name uncultured bacterium. RNAcentral's name for it is "partial 16S ribosomal RNA". It matches the Rfam family "Bacterial small subunit ribosomal RNA", at positions 28 to 507 of the family's 1533-position model. The record is from RNAcentral.